RNAcentral lists this ribosomal RNA (263 nucleotides) under uncultured bacterium. Its description in RNAcentral is "partial 16S ribosomal RNA". It matches the Rfam family "Bacterial small subunit ribosomal RNA", at positions 91 to 354 of the family's 1533-position model. The record is from RNAcentral.
CUUAGUGGCGGACGGGUGAGUAACGCGUGGGUAACCUGCCGUAUACAGGGGGAUAACACUUAGAAAUAGGUGCUAAUACCGCAUAAGCGCACGGGGCUGCAUGGCCCAGUGUGAAAAACUCCGGUGGUAUAAGAUGGACCCGCGUCUGAUUAGCUUGUUGGCGGGGUAACGGCCCACCAAGGCGACGAUCAGUAGCCGGCCUGAGAGGGUGGACGGCCACAUUGGGACUGAGACACGGCCCAAACUCCUACGGGAGGCAGCAG